Molecule: small nuclear RNA, 111 nt
Organism: Frankliniella occidentalis (western flower thrips)
Lineage: Eukaryota; Metazoa; Arthropoda; Insecta; Thysanoptera; Thripidae
Product: U2 spliceosomal RNA
Exons: 1
Source: RefSeq, a predicted model, not a curated record
AACGGUUUGCAGGUACCCGGAAUAGACUGUAGUAUCUGUUCUUAUCAGCUUAAUAUCUGGUACACUCCGCAUUGCGGAGUCAGAAUAUUAAACUGAUUUUUGUAAUCCGAU